RNAcentral lists this ribosomal RNA (1450 nucleotides) under uncultured organism. RNAcentral describes it as "16S ribosomal RNA". It matches the Rfam family "Bacterial small subunit ribosomal RNA". The record is from RNAcentral.
AGAUUGAACGCUGGCGGCAUGCCUUACACAUGCAACCUUUACGGCAGCACGGGUGCUUGCACCUGGUGGCGAGUGGCGAACGGGUGAGUAAUACAUCGGAACAUGUCCUGUACUGGGGGAUAGCCCGGCGAAAGCCGGAUUAAUACCGCAUACGAUCUACGGAUGAAAGCGGGGGACCUUCGGGCCUCGCGCUAUAGGGUUGGCCGAUGGCUGAUUAGCUAGUUGGUGGGGUAAAGGCCUACCAAGGCGACGAUCAGUAGCUGGUCUGAGAGGACGACCAGCCACACUGGGACUGAGACACGGCCCAGACUCCUACAGGAGGCAGCAGUGGGGAAUUUUGGACAAUGGGCGAAAGCCUGAUCCAGCAAUGCCGCGUGUGUGAAGAAGGCCUUCGGGUUGUAAAGCACUUUUGUCCGGAAAGAAAUCCUUGGCUCUAAUACAGUCGGGGGAUGACGGUACCGGAAGAAUAAGCACCGGCUAACUACGUGCCAGCAGCCGCGGUAAUACGUAGGGUGCGAGCGUUAAUCGGAAUUACUGGGCGUAAAGCGUGCGCAGGCGGUUUGCUAACACCGAUGUGAAAUCCCCGGGCUCAACCUGGGAACUGCAUUGGUGACUGGCAGGCUAGAGUAUGGCAGAGGGGGGUAGAAUUCCACGUGUUAGCAGUGAAAUGCGUGGAGAUGGGGGAGGAAUACCCGAUGGGGAAGGGCAGCCCCCUGGGGCCAAAUAUUGCCGCUCAUGCAGGAAAGCGGGGGGAGCAAACAGGAUUAGAUACCCUGGUAGUCCACGCCCUAAACGAUGUCAACUAGUUGUUGGGGAUUCAUUUCCUUAGUAACGUAGCUAACGCGUGAAGUUAACCGCCUGGGGAGUACGGUCGCAAGAUUAAAACUCAAAGGAAUUGACGGGGACCCGCACAAGCGGUGGAUGAUGUGGAUUAAUUCGAUGCAACGCGAAAAACCUUACCUACCCUUGACAUGGUCGGAAUCCCGCUGAGAGGUGGGAGUGCUCGAAAGAGAACCGGCGCACAGGUGCUGCAUGGCUGUCGUCAGCUCGUGUCGUGAGAUGUUGGGUUAAGUCCCGCAACGAGCGCAACCCUUGUCCUUAGUUGCUACGCAAGAGCACUCUAAGGAGACUGCCGGUGACAAACCGGAGGAAGGUGGGGAUGACGUCAAGUCCUCAUGGCCCUUAUGGGUAGGGCUUCACACGUCAUACAAUGGUCGGAACAGAGGGUUGCCAACCCGCGAGGGGGAGCUAAUCCCAGAAAACCGAUCGUAGUCCGGAUUGCACUCUGCAACUCGAGUGCAUGAAGCUGGAAUCGCUAGUAAUCGCGGAUCAGCAUGCCGCGGUGAAUACGUUCCCGGGUGUUGUACACACCGCCCGUCACACCAUGGGAGUGGGUUUUACCAGAAGUGGCUAGUCUAACCGCAAGGAGGACGGUCACCACGGUAGGAUU